Nothobranchius furzeri (turquoise killifish) is the source of this 5539-nucleotide non-coding RNA. NCBI's taxonomy places the organism in Eukaryota, Metazoa, Chordata, Actinopteri, Cyprinodontiformes, Nothobranchiidae. The record is from RefSeq and is a predicted model, not a curated record.
AGCAUUUUAGGUCACAGAUAGAUGUAGCUUAGGGUCUCUGUCUAUACACCUUAUAAGACAAUUUAGGUGAUGGCAUGUUGUUUUUCUGCUAUUGAACUGUUUUCUAAUAAUGUUGUGUUAAAUAAAGUGAAGGAAGGAGAGAAAUAACGUUUCCCUAGCAGUUUUUAAAAAUUUCCCCAUGUAAUCCGAUUAAUCGAUUAAUCGUGUCGAGACCCCAUCCGAUUAAUCGAUUAUCCAAAUAAUCGUUUGUUGCAGCCCUAGACUUUAGUAACUCAGGUGAAUUACUUAGUGCAGCAUCCAUUACCCCAGAUAAGCGGACAAAAAUGGAUGGAUGGACGUUUUUGUCCGCUUAUCGGGGGUCAGGUCACAGGGGCAGCAGCCUAAGCACAAAGGCCCAGACUUCCCUCUCCCCAGCCUCUUAGGCCAUCUCCUCCGGGGGGAUCCGAAGGUGUUCCAUGUCCAGCUGAGAGACGUAGUCCCUCCAGUGUGUCCUGGGCCUCCCUUUAGGCCUCCUUUCAGUUGGACGUGCCUGGAAAACCUCUCCAGGAGGCAUCCUGACCAGAUGCCCGAGCCACCUCAACUGGCUCCUCUUGAUGUGGAGGAGCAGCGGGUCUACUGGGAGCCCCUCCUGGCUGACUGAGCUUCUCACCCUAUCUCAAAGGGAGAGCCCAGCCACCCGUUUUAAUGUACAUUUGUAGAAAAUCUAUGAAGAGGCUUAAGCACAGCCUCCUUCAAACUACCAUCCUGCUCAGGAAAGUUUUUUACUGCUGCAUCGCCUCACAGAUUUUUCCUCUUUUGUUUUUUUUAGGGUUGCAAACUCUCUCCGUCGUGUGUUCAUGUCAGAAGUUCCUACAAUAGCGAUCGAUUGGAUCCAGAUUGAUGCUAACUCGUCGGUGCUGCACGAUGAGUUUGUCGCACACAGAGUUGGCCUCAUUCCUCUCACCAGCGAUGACAUAGUGGAUAAAAUGCAAUAUUCAAGGGUGAGUGUGGCGUUUCAGCACAAACGGCUGAUUAUGUUCGUAUUCAAAGCUUCUCAGCAGGUCGAAGACCAAAGUGUUAUAACGGAGUCUUUUCUUGUUUCCGCUGUAGACUAACAUCGUUUCAGAGCUGUGUGAUAUUAAGUUCCUGUUGCAGUUAUUGUGGAUAAAGUUAACAGACGUAUGGGAAUAAAUGAUCAGAGUGGUUAUUAGGGCUGCAACAACGAAUCGAUAAAUUCAAUGAAAAUCGAUUACUAAAAGCGUUGGCAACGAAUUGCGUCAUCGAUUCGUUGUGUCGCACAACUCUUCCAAAAGCGCCCCCCCUUCCCGCCCGCCAUUGCACGCAGACCAGAGCAAGUCAUAUCAGCGCGAGGGAGAGUCGAUCAGCGCGAGGGAGAGCCGGCAGAUCAGCGCGAGGGAGAGCCGGCAGACUUGCGCUGCUGCGAACCGGUUCCGCAUUGUUGUGCAGCGAUCCAGGCAGCUGCUUCCAGCACACGGUCCAUUCUCAAAGUGGUUCAACCAAAAAACUAUAAUUAUCACAGAUCGUUCAUGUCCGCACAUGUUCUCUAUUUUGUCUUAUUUGUGCCUGAAGCGCGCUACUGUGGAGCUCAUCACCUCUGCUGUGGUGAUGUCACCUCACGCAGCAUCGAAAACGCGCUCUCCGCUGUGUGGUCAGGAGAUCCCUUUGAUCUCCUCAAAAGUAACUGAUGAGGUGAAAAGGUAAGAAUCCAGGCAACAGAUUUUCUGGAGAAUUAAGAGGAGAUGCAGGAAGAUGAGAGACAGACAGGACAGGAAAAUAGUUAAAUAAAAACAAGAAAACAAAACAAAGUGUUGAAAAGUAAAAUGUAGGUAGAUUUAUCUCCACGACACGUUUUUACCAGUAAAAAACAAUAAGUUACACACAUGUAAUAUUUAUACAUCUGAUACAAUUCAGAUCACCUUCAAAACUCAGUCACACACCCAGGGCCGUUUCAAGACAUUUUGGGGGCCAAAGCAAAAUGCCCCCCCCCCCCCCCAUAACUGGGCUCCCCAGAAGCCUCUGUGUAAUUUAUACCCUCUCCAGUAGUGUUAGUUAUAUGGUGUUUAUAAAAGCCCCUCAGACAUUACUGACAUGUUCUAAUAUAUCAGAUGAAAAACUAAAUUAUCAGACAUGCUGUCUCAUCUGCUGCUUUUCUAAACUUGCAAAAAGUAACAAAACCAUGUGAAAGCCACUAUUUGUGGAUUCUCUGAAAGUUUCCAUGGAGUGUGUGACAACUUAUUUUUUCAUUGAUCCUAUCGUCUAAUCUCACAGCUGAAACAAGCAUCCUUAAUAAUCUGUGCACAGGAAGCUUACCGAUGCUGUAGUAAAACAAAAGGUAUAAUAAUUUAUUAUUAAUAAAACCUUGUUGCAGCACUAAAGCAGAAAAAUUAUAUUUUGCAUUAAAUAUGCAAAAUAUUUACAUAUGAAUUGUUUUAGAGCCCUUUAAUUGGCAGAAUCUGAUAUUAAUUUAGUUCUUACAAAAAAUGGGUCCCAACAUGGUUUGUGUGGCGUUGCCAUAGUGUGACGUCAUAGGCACAGAUCCCUGUCCUCUUGUUUGGAAAUGGAAAUAUGAUCACCCUACAUUAAACAAACUGUCCACCCGGGCUUUUGCGCUGCACAGAGACGCUUCGCUGCCUACGACUGAAUGUCAGUUGAGAGUCAGUCUCAUGCAGACUGACCAAUGAAGAGAGGGCCUCAAGUUAAGACCCUCUCCUCAUUGGUCAGUCCACACGAGGUGGGUCAAAGGUUACUCUGGGCGGGUUACGUGUUGUCAGGCAUUCAAGUAUUGAGUAUAUUUACUGCAUAUUACAGUAAAAUAUUCUGUAUGUGACCACAUUAUGGUGAUCCUUGGGUCGUGAUGAUGGGGCCCUUGAAUAUUGUUGCCCAGGGUACAACAAAGUGUUAAUCUGGCCCUGGUUCCGCCGUCACAUUCCCGCAGAAACUGGUUGAUCACACCGGGGCCAGACUACUAGCAUGUGGUUUUACAACCACAAUGUCCUCAGAAGCAAAAACGCUUUUAAAAGGGAGGGAGGAGUCCUAACUGUUGCUGCAGGCAUGUUGUGUGAGAGUGCAGUUAUAUACUGGUUAAUAUAUUUUUGGGUUCAGUUGCUUUCAUGUGGCCUAAUGUGAGUCUAUUUGGGAUCAUUGGAAUGAUCAGCAGCAUUUCUUGAUGUGACUUUAUGGCAGUUGCCCAGGGCAUCAUCGCAAGGAGGAUGGCAUUCAUUUACUUUUGUUUUAUUUGGUAUUUUUUCAGUCAUUUUUGGAAAUAGUGAUCAAUUUUGAUUAAUUCACAGCCUAUGUUUAAUUACAUUUAAAAUAAAUGUCAACAGAUGAGAUCAAACAAAACAGAUGAGAAUUGCCCUUAAGCUGUUUAACUUGGACCAAGCAUUUUAGGUCACAGAUAGAUGUAGCUUAGGGUCUCUGUCUAUACACCUUAUAAGACAAUUUAGGUGAUGGCAUGUUGUUUUUCUGCUAUUGAACUGUUUUCUAAUAAUGUUGUGUUAAAUAAAGUGAAGGAAGGAGAGAAAUAACGUUUCCCUAGCAGUUUUAAAAAUUUCCCCAUGUAAUCCGAUUAAUCGAUUAAUCGUGUCGAGACCCCAUCCGAUUAAUCGAUUAUCCAAAUAAUCGUUUGUUGCAGCCCUAAAUGACAGUAAUGGACAUUUUCCUUUUAUUCCACAGCACUAGAAACCAGUCAUAAAAUACAGCUGUAGUUUAAAGUUUAGUUGUCACAAGAAAAAAAUAUGUGGCAGGUGUAAAAUUACCAUCCACUCGCUCUGAAGCUUCGGAGUUUGGAUGCAGAAGAGGGGGACAAAAAACCAAAGACUGCUUUGGGUUUCCCCUCAUUGUGGUGCAGUGUGUCGGUGGAGUUGAAACGAGCAAUUCUUUCAGCAGUCUGGUCAGUGAACAGUUCAAACUUAUCACGUCCAGUUACUCAAUAAGUGACAAUAAACUGUCAAACCUGCCUUGACCAGGUAAAGUUUCAGUGCUUUUUUUUUUUUUUGUGGGGGAAAAAAAGGGCCGUGCAUUACUUUAAGGUGCAAGACAUGAAGUUCUCAUUACCAUUCAAAGUGAUUAAAUACUGCCACCUUGUGGACAGAUAGAUGAUAGCUGGAAAAGUGACAAAAAGAGCAUGAAUUCAAAUAGGAUAAAGUUUUUUUUUUCUCCAAAAGUGCAAAUCAUUCAAAAUUCUCUGAAGGGGAACAGAAAAUGCAGUCAUGCUGGGCAAAUCUAAAACAACUGCCUCUUGAUUCGAACAUUUUACAUAUUAAAACAUUGUGUGCAUGUCAUUUUCACCAUGAUUAAUGUAUCAUUCAUAGAUAAACUCUUGUAAAAAUCAAAGAAUUGCAACAUCCACCUAGAAAGGUUUGAAUUUAAGCGCAUCACUCAGACUUUUCACAAAAAAGGGAAGUCACAUUCUGAACAAGGACAAAACAAACAAUUCACACAGAACUCUUAUUGUCAGCUUUCACUCCCAAUGCAGGAAAUGCUUUCUAAAUGCCCAGCUGAGCUCCAAAUGGAGCUGAAACAUACUUUCUUCCAAUCACAUCACAUUAUAUGAUCAAAAUUAAUGAAAAAAAACAAAACAAAACAUAGUUCUGUGUCUUUUGAUCAUAAAACAUUCAUUUUGUUUUUCAAGCCUUCGAACAUCUGGAUGGUUUAACAUGGUUGUAGUACACUGAAUUGUUAUUAUGUAUAAAAUGUUGUGAAAUACUACCGGUACUGGACUCAAGCUUGAGCGUUCACAUUCCUGAGACACAAACAGCUGCUUUCCGGUGAAAAGUUCAGUCAGAUUCUGUGUUUUGGUAAAGACUGGCCUUUGUUUUUGUUCUAAAUAUACAUAUAUGAGCACUGAGUUCAUGUUGGCAGUUGUUUGCAGUGGAAUUAAUUCAAUUAAAAGACAAUUAAUCAUAAAAUACUAGUUAUCACAACUACAGGACCUAAAGCUAAUGCUAAUGGCAAAUCUGCAGAACAAGCUAGCUUAGGACAUUUAUUCAUGCUUCUUAACGUCAUGACAUGGUAUAGCUAUGAAUAUUUUGUGGGGAUAAAAAAAAGAUUGAGAAAAAAAUAAUGAAGUGGUUUUGUCACAUUUGUCUAAAAACCAUUGCCAAAAACACAGCUCUGUCCGAAACCAACAACUGGACCACAGCACUUCUGCACUUACCUGGGUCCUUCAUUCAUUACACACUCGCAUAUUUAGCAACAGAACACCACUGGUGUGAGAGGAUCUCUUAAUAAUAUCAGAGAAGGAGAAACAGCCAGCUGCGACCACUUUAGGACAAACUACUAGAGUCCCAAAAAGAAAAACAUAAUUUGAAGUCAGACAACAAAAAAUGUUUGGACUGAGAAACAAUAUCUCUAACUGUGGCGAUGCGCGUUCCCAUAUCAGGCAGACAUGGCCCAGGGAUGACAGCUGAUGGGAGGGGUGAAAGAUAUGUGGCUGCGUUUGUGUUUAAGAGCUAGCUUUUGUUUUGCAGAUUUGCCAUUGCAUUAAUUGAGGUCUUUAGAUUCUCUGUUGUGUAAAAUAAAAUCAUGAUGGGUCAAG